RNAcentral lists this RNase P RNA (290 nucleotides) under Thermoproteota archaeon. Its description in RNAcentral is "RNase P RNA component". It matches the Rfam family "Archaeal RNase P". Rfam says of the family: Ribonuclease P (RNase P) is a ubiquitous endoribonuclease, found in archaea, bacteria and eukarya as well as chloroplasts and mitochondria. Its best characterised activity is the generation of mature 5'-ends of tRNAs by cleaving the 5'-leader elements of precursor-tRNAs. Lineage: Archaea; Thermoproteati; Thermoproteota. The record is from RNAcentral.
GAGAGCGGGCCGGGGGGCUCGGCCCGGGAGGGCUGAGGAAGGUCCGCCCACGCCCGACCCCCGCGCCCCCGCAAGGGGGAGCCCCGAGAGGGGCUGAGGGGCCCACAGAAACGACACGUCCCCGCGGACAUGGCGGUGACGCCGGCGAGGCAGAGGACCCGCGGGGGACCGGUGAAACGCGGGCCGCCGCGGGGUGCAAGCCGCCCCGCCGUGAGCAGGUCGGGCGAGCGGGGCAGGGCGCGCAGCCCAAUCCCCCCGCGAGUACAGAAGGCGGACUAUGGCCCGCACUC